AUACUCAAGUGGGUCAGCUGGUAACUUACAAAUCGCGACUUACAACAUACGACGUACUGGCUGGCGUGUUGCAUGCAACAAAUGGCCGAUAAAGCAACGAGGCAUAGCCAAAGUGACCGACCCACCGAUUUGAUUUAUGCCCACGACCCACUCUCCCGUAAUCCAUUUACACAUGCGAUUUGUCUUGGGUUUCCUUUCCCCAUGAAUUAUGAUCUCGGUCAGUGGGGUGUGAUGGUCAAGACAUUAGCUUUCCCGUUACCCAAGUCACACGAUCGCCGACAGCUGGGCGAAAGCGAUGGAAAACCCAAGCCAACUCUCCAAGAACCCGAGAUCUGUGUAGCCUCUAUAACGCCUGCGGAAUUAUCUAUUAUGUCCAGCGCUUACAACUGGACACUCCUCUGAAAACUGAAAUCGGACUCUCGUGAGAUUUAUGGGGCAGCCGACGACGUGGCGGAGUACAAAAUAAAUACAAAACUUAGCGACAACAAACCAGAAUGAGAAUCAAAACUUGAACUCGAACCAUCCCGUCCAGCGGCGUCUGCUGGAUGCAAUUAGCCGACGUAAAGUCACGUAGAGUAAUUGCAGUGCCGGGUGGACGAAGGGCAAGUUGCCCGUCCGCAACCAGGAGAGAUAAAUGAGGCAAAUUAGCACUCGGCGACCCGGUCAGAAAAAAAAAGAACACCGGAUUGUGGGUAAGGGCAAAU
Non-coding RNA from Drosophila melanogaster (fruit fly), 704 nucleotides. Lineage: Eukaryota; Metazoa; Arthropoda; Insecta; Diptera; Drosophilidae. The record is from Ensembl.